This 495-nucleotide ribosomal RNA is filed under the name uncultured bacterium. RNAcentral's name for it is "partial 16S ribosomal RNA". It matches the Rfam family "Bacterial small subunit ribosomal RNA", at positions 28 to 507 of the family's 1533-position model. The record is from RNAcentral.
GACGAACGCUGGCGGCGUGCCUAAUACAUGCAAGUAGAACGCUGAAGGAGGAGCUUGCUUCUCUGGAUGAGUUGCGAACGGGUGAGUAACGCGUAGGUAACCUGCCUGGUAGCGGGGGAUAACUAUUGGAAACGAUAGCUAAUACCGCAUAAUAGUAGAUGUUGCAUGACAUUUGCUUAAAAGGUGCAAUUGCAUCACUACCAGAUGGACCUGCGUUGUAUUAGCUAGUUGGUGGGGUAACGGCUCACCAAGGCGACGAUACAUAGCCGACCUGAGAGGGGGAUCGGCCACACUGGGACUGAGACACGGCCCAGACUACUACGGGAGGCAGCAGUAGGGAAGCUUCGGCAAUGGACGGAAGGCUGACCGAGCAACGCCGCGUGAGUGAAGAAGGGUUUCGGAUCGGAAAGCUCUGUUGUAAGAGAAGAACGAGUGUGAGAGUGGAAAGUUCACACUGUGACGGUAUCUGACCAGAAAGGGACGGCUAACUACGUG